This 429-nucleotide ribosomal RNA is filed under the name Bacteroidota bacterium. RNAcentral's name for it is "Bacteroidetes bacterium partial 16S ribosomal RNA". It matches the Rfam family "Bacterial small subunit ribosomal RNA", at positions 355 to 776 of the family's 1533-position model. Lineage: Bacteria; Pseudomonadati; Bacteroidota. The record is from RNAcentral.
UAGGGAAUCUUCCGCAAUGGACGCAAGUCUGACGGAGCAACGCCGCGUGAGUGAAGAAGGAUUUCGGUUCGUAAAACUCUGUUGUUAGAGAAGAACAGCGCAUAGAGUAACUGUUAUGCGUGUGACGGUAUCUAACCAGAAAGCCACGGCUAACUACGUGCCAGCAGCCGCGGUAAUACGUAGGUGGCAAGCGUUGUCCGGAUUUAUUGGGCGUAAAGCGAGCGCAGGCGGUCAAUUAAGUCUGAUGUGAAAGCCCCCGGCUCAACCGGGGAGGGUCAUUGGAAACUGGUUGACUUUAGUGCAGAAGGGGAGAGUGGAAUUCCAUGUGUAGCGGUGAAAUGCGUAGAUAUAUGGAGGAACACCGGUGGCGAAAGCGGCUCUCUGGUCUGUAACUGACGCGGAGGCUCGAAAGCGUGGGGAGCGAACAGG